GUCGAGUGAUCCUGCGCCGAAGAUUUCCGGGGCUAAAACUUACUACCGAAGCUACGGCAUCAGUAAUGAUGGGUAGGGGAGCUUCCCAUACGGGUUGAAGCAUGACCGUAAGGACAUGUGGACAGUAUGGGAGUGAGAAUGUUGGCAUGAGUAGCGAGAUGUGGGUGAGAAUCCCACAGGCCGUAAACCCAAGGUUUCCAGGGGAAGGUUCGUCCGCCCUGGGUUAGUCGGGACCUAAGCUGAGGC
Molecule: ribosomal RNA, 246 nt
Filed under: Clostridioides difficile
Lineage: Bacteria; Bacillati; Bacillota; Clostridia; Peptostreptococcales; Peptostreptococcaceae
Description: partial 23S ribosomal RNA
Rfam family: Bacterial large subunit ribosomal RNA
Source: RNAcentral